Long non-coding RNA from Homarus americanus (American lobster), 492 nucleotides. RefSeq lists it as uncharacterized. The record is from RefSeq and is a predicted model, not a curated record. Lineage: Eukaryota; Metazoa; Arthropoda; Malacostraca; Decapoda; Nephropidae. The transcript is spliced from 3 exons.
GGCACCAUCCAACACGCCAGCCUGUGCUGCUCAGACUACAACAGGACAUAACUAACCCUCUUCUGCCUUACGUCGAUGACACCAUUGUCUACCAGGAAAAUUUCUUUAAAUACGACGACCAAUCACCAAGCCUGAACGUAUACGACAUUACCCCUUGUUACACCGGCCAUCAACACAUCAGGAGGUUCCAAGUGGCGUUUCCCAGGCAGAAUCGUUACGACUUUGACCUCGAUCCGGUCAGAUUCACAACCACUGUACAACUUUACUUGCUAUUGACCUGCUUAUCGUUCCUUUACGUAUACAGCAUAUGUUGGUGGAAUUCCAAGAAGAUAUCGGGCUCCUGUACUGCGAGUUUACCCUCUUGGAUCUGCCUCAAGUCCAGGGGGUCAGGUGUGAACACGCUGUCGGCCCGCCAUUAGACCAAGUAGUUGACAGGCUGAAAUACUCUAUGAAUGACCUGGUUGUUAUCCUUACGACCCGAGCACGACACUC